GAGUUUGAUCCUGGCUCAGAUUGAACGCUGGCGGCAUGCCUUACACAUGCAAGUCGAACGGCAGCACGGGAGCUUGCUCCUGGUGGCGAGUGGCGAACGGGUGAGUAAUGCAUCGGAACGUAUCCUGGAGUGGGGGAUAACGUAGCGAAAGUUACGCUAAUACCGCAUAUUCUGUGAGCAGGAAAGCGGGGGACCUUCGGGCCUCGCGCUCUUGGAGCGGCCGAUGUCGGAUUAGCUAGUUGGUGAGGUAAAGGCUCACCAAGGCGACGAUCCGUAGCAGGUCUGAGAGGAUGAUCUGCCACACUGGAACUGAGACACGGUCCAGACUCCUACGGGAGGCAGCAGUGGGAAUUUGGACAAUGGGGCAACCCUGAUCCAGCCGUGCCGCGUGAGUGAAGAAGGCCU
RNAcentral lists this ribosomal RNA (405 nucleotides) under bacterium enrichment culture clone ALO1_GLFRUDD03G8OF3. RNAcentral describes it as "bacterial SSU rRNA". It matches the Rfam family "Bacterial small subunit ribosomal RNA", at positions 9 to 417 of the family's 1533-position model. The record is from RNAcentral.